RNAcentral lists this transfer RNA (92 nucleotides) under Candidatus Saccharibacteria bacterium RIFCSPHIGHO2_01_FULL_48_12. RNAcentral describes it as "tRNA-Ser". It matches the Rfam family "tRNA". Rfam says of the family: Transfer RNA (tRNA) molecules are approximately 80 nucleotides in length. RNAcentral also lists the same sequence under 1 other name. Lineage: Bacteria; Candidatus Saccharimonadota. The record is from RNAcentral.
GGAGAGGUCGCAUAGUCCGGUCUAGUGCGCCACACUCGAAAUGUGGUGAGGCCGCAAGGUCUCCGUGGGUUCAAAUCCCACCCUCUCCGCCA